GUGAAUGCUGGCGGCGUGGAUGAGGCAUGCAAGUCGAAUGGGUUUAGACCCAUGGCAGACGAGGUAGGAACACGUAGGUACGUACCGGAGAGUCAGGGAUAACCUGGAGAAAUCCGGAAUAAUACUUGAUGGUCCCGAGAGGGUAAAGAUUUAUCGCUCUCUGAACGGCCUGCGUUCUAUCAGCUUGUUGGUAAGGUAACGGCUUACCAAGGCUACGACGGAUAGGGGAGGUGAGAGCCUGACCCCCACCGAUGGAACUGCGACACGGUCCAUACUCCUACGGGAGGCUGCAGUCGAGAAUCUUCCGCAAUGGACGAAAGUCUGACGGAGCGACGCCGCGUGGUAGAUGAAGUCCUUAGGGACGUAAAUACCUUUUAUGAGGGAAGAAGUUUAUUGACGGUACCUCAUGAAUAAGGGGCUCCCAAUUCUGU
Molecule: ribosomal RNA, 431 nt
Filed under: uncultured bacterium
Lineage: Bacteria
Description: bacterial SSU rRNA
Rfam family: Bacterial small subunit ribosomal RNA
Source: RNAcentral